RNAcentral lists this ribosomal RNA (300 nucleotides) under uncultured Alteromonadales bacterium. Its description in RNAcentral is "bacterial SSU rRNA". It matches the Rfam family "Bacterial small subunit ribosomal RNA", at positions 114 to 418 of the family's 1533-position model. Lineage: Bacteria; Pseudomonadati; Pseudomonadota; Gammaproteobacteria; Alteromonadales. The record is from RNAcentral.
UGCUUGGGGAACUGCCCAGUCGAGGGGGACAACUAUUGGAAACGAUAGCUAAUACCGCAUACGCCCUACGGGGAAAGGAGGGGACCUUCGGGCCUUUCGCGAUUGGAUGUACCCAAGUGGGAUUAGCUAGUUGGUGAGGUAAUGGCUCACCAAGGCGACGAUCCCUAGCUGGUUUGAGAGGAUGAUCAGCCACACUGGAACUGAGACACGGUCCAGACUCCUACGGGAGGCAGCAGUGGGGAAUAUUGCACAAUGGAGGAAACUCUGAUGCAGCCAUGCCGCGUGUAUGAAGAAGGCCUU